CUGCACCAUGGAUAGCAAUUGCGCAUGGCUAGCACAAGCAUCAGGCAUAGGAUGAGCAUCAGUAUGCUGCCCACUAGUUCCAAAAUGACCAAGACCUUGACCAUGACCAUAGUUACAUGUAGUAGGAGGCAUAGCUACAACCACCAUAACAACAAACAUAUGCAAGCAUAUCAAAUUCCAAGAUAUUCAAGAAUAAGCACACUAGACAAGUAAAAGAACAUUGUACAAGUAAGGAUAUGCAAACCCAUACCCAACCUACACGUGCAAGUGUGUCAAUUUUUAAUAAGUUAGAUUUUAACAUACAAAAAUUAAGCCAAGAAUCUAUAACCAAAAGCUAUGAUUACCAACUGUAACACCCCAAGUGCCACAAAGGCCCAAGAUAUCACUAAAGAUCCUUCCAACAUGCUGGAGUAGAAAAACUCGACAGCAUAACACCAUAAAUAGAGUAAAACAUGAAAACAACAACAUAAAAUAUAUUUAAAGAUAAACCAAACACUAACAAAAUAACACAUAUCAAAGAUCAACCACACUCAUUAUUAAGAAUCCACAAAUGGACACCACAAGGUAUACUCUAUGUUCAUUACAGAAAGACAAAUGUAUCAUUAUUAUAUAAAAAGAGCAUGCCAAAGAUGUGAAGACGUGCAACUAAUCCCAUCCUCUCAAGCAAAGCAUCGACUCAAACACCUGAAAAAUAAAACGGCUGUGAGAAUAAAUCUCAGCAAGCAAACUGCUAUAACAAGUUAUUUAAACUACGAGUUCAUUAUUCAUCAAUUUGAACAUAGAUACAUGAUAAAAAUAAGAUAAACGGGAUCAUUGUGAAAGCCACCUCAUAUGAACAAAAAUGAAUAAACCACAACCACACAUUAACUUCAGAUGAUCAAGACCUCGUAUCCAC
This 895-nucleotide long non-coding RNA is filed under the name Setaria viridis. Its description in RNAcentral is "long non-coding RNA (SVIR_LNC003224)". Lineage: Eukaryota; Viridiplantae; Streptophyta; Magnoliopsida; Poales; Poaceae. The record is from RNAcentral.